GACGAACGCUGGCGGCGUGCUUAACACAUGCAAGUCGAACGGAAAGGCCCUGCUUUUGUGGGGUGCUCGAGUGGCGAACGGGUGAGUAACACGUGAGUAACCUGCCCUUGACUUUGGGAUAACUUCAGGAAACUGGGGCUAAUACCGGAUAGGAGCUCCUGCUGCAUGGUGGGGGUUGGAAAGUUUCGGCGGUUGGGGAUGGACUCGCGGCUUAUCAGCUUGUUGGUGGGGUAGUGGCUUACCAAGGCUUUGACGGGUAGCCGGCCUGAGAGGGUGACCGGCAACAGGGGGAGAGAGAUGGCGCCCAGUCUCAAGGGGGAGCAGGAGUGGGGAAAUAUGACAGAGUGGGGGGAUGCCAGAUCGAGAAGGCCCGGGGGGGGAAUGGCGGCGUUGGGGUGUUAACCCCCUUCCGCGUGGGAGGAAGUGUGAGUAGGGGUAGUGGGUAAAAAAACACGGGUUAACCACGUC
RNAcentral lists this ribosomal RNA (468 nucleotides) under uncultured bacterium. RNAcentral describes it as "partial 16S ribosomal RNA". It matches the Rfam family "Bacterial small subunit ribosomal RNA", at positions 28 to 507 of the family's 1533-position model. The record is from RNAcentral.